CGGAGGCCAUUGCUAUUGGGAUCCGAUUUAGCCAUGCUAGUCGCACGAGUUCAGACUCGUGGCGAAUAGCUCAGUAACACGUGGCCAAACUACCCUUCGGAACACAAUACCCUCGGGAAACUGAGGCUAAUAGUGUAUACCACAUCACCACUGGAAUGAGUGAUGUGCCAAACGCUCCGGCGCCGAAGGAUGUGGCUGCGGCCGAUUAGGUAGACGGUGGGGUAACGGCCCACCGUGCCAAUAAUCGGUAUGGGUCAUGAGAGUGAGAACCCAGAGACGGAAUCUGAGACAAGAUUCCGGGCCCU
RNAcentral lists this ribosomal RNA (305 nucleotides) under Halorubrum sp. TP003. RNAcentral's name for it is "bacterial SSU rRNA". It matches the Rfam family "Archaeal small subunit ribosomal RNA", at positions 18 to 324 of the family's 1478-position model. RNAcentral also lists the same sequence under 15 other names. The record is from RNAcentral. Lineage: Archaea; Methanobacteriati; Methanobacteriota; Halobacteria; Halobacteriales; Haloferacaceae.